AGUUGAGUGUGAAGACCUGAGGUAUCAGGGGUAGGGGUUGCUCUGCUUGUGUAAGUCCCAUAGUGUGAAGGCCAGAGAACCAAGAGAUGGUCAAGAAGAGAGAGUAAGUGUCCAAUGUCCCAGCUCAAGAAGAGAGACAAGACCAACCCCGCCUCUUCCUUCUCCUUCUCGACCUACUCAAAGUAAAGAUGAGGAUGAAGACCCUUAAGAUGAUCCACUCCCACUUAAUGAAUAGAGCAUCACGACCUGUGCAGACUCCCCAGCAUCAUAACAGGAAGGUCCCACGAUCACGAGCACAUUGCCUUCAGCAUCCAGCACUGAAUAUGGUGAAUUGCACUCUGAAGAGCUUCCUAAGCUUGUAAGAAAGUGAUUCUGAAAAGCUCAACAUUUUGGUAGAAUGGAGAGAUUUGACAUUGCUUCUGCUCCAAAAGCAAAAGACUUGGGAAGGGCACCCUGGGAGUUGAGAACAUCCACCACAGAGAGGCCUGGCGUAAAGGAGAUGGGACUCACACCCAAGAGGAUGCAUUUCCAUACACCCAUUUCUGAAAUAUGAAGAGGUGUCCAGUCUGUUUGAUUCAUAGCUGCCUGUUCCACAACUGCAGAUACAGUAAUUGAUAACCGAGACCAAGUUCUCAUCCCCAUCUCCCAGGGCUGGAACUGGGGCUGUGUUUGGUUCUCAUAAGAUCAGUUCCAGUUUUAGAAACUGAGUAAAUUGUGGAGUAAAUAUUGCCAAGUGAUGGCUUUCUGCUGUAGGCGUGGGUCGCUGUUGGCCAUUUGCCUCAGCAUAUCACCAGCAAUGCACCUCAUUGCAUCACUGCAUUUCCAAUUACACCUCAAAGCACCACUGGUCCCCUGUCCACCCUCUGCCCUGCAGAGGUGGGUGUUCAGGGAGACAGAUCCAAAAUCUGGGCUCAGAAGAUGGAAAUGCCAACUGCUCUCAAUUUGAGAGUGGGGAUGAGACUUUUUGACUCAACUCUGGUUAAUUCAGCCAUGCUGUCAGAGCUGCUUUGAUGCAAGGACAUCUGAAUGCUAUCUGAAUGCUGCCCCUAAAAUAACAAAUUAAAAACAACAACAACAACAAAAA
RNAcentral lists this long non-coding RNA (1084 nucleotides) under Homo sapiens (human). RNAcentral's name for it is "long intergenic non-protein coding RNA 1584". The record is from RNAcentral. Lineage: Eukaryota; Metazoa; Chordata; Mammalia; Primates; Hominidae.